Molecule: non-coding RNA, 93 nt
Organism: Mycena galericulata
Lineage: Eukaryota; Fungi; Basidiomycota; Agaricomycetes; Agaricales; Mycenaceae
Source: the annotation of a GenBank genome assembly
GUCUCAUUUGCACAGCGGUCGUGCCGCCGGUUAAUGUGGCGCCUACUUGAAAUCUUAUCCCGGCGUUGGCCGGUUCGAAUCCGGCAUGGGACU